This 223-nucleotide ribosomal RNA is filed under the name uncultured bacterium. Its description in RNAcentral is "partial 16S ribosomal RNA". It matches the Rfam family "Bacterial small subunit ribosomal RNA", at positions 15 to 231 of the family's 1533-position model. The record is from RNAcentral.
GAUCCUGGCUCAGGAUGAACGCUAGCUACAGGCUUAACACAUGCAAGUCGAGGGGCAGCAUGACGAUAGCUUGCUAUUGUUGAUGGCGACCGGCGCAUGGGUGAGUAACGCGUAUCCAACCUGCCCUUGUCCAUCGGAUAACCCGUCGAAAGGCGGCCUAACACGAUAUGCAGUUCUCAGCAGGCAUCUAACGAGAACGAAGUGUGAAGGAGAAGGAUGGGGA